GAUGAACGCUGACAGAAUGCUUCACACAUCAGCAAUUGAUUGGUGGCGGACGGGUGCGUAACUCGUAAAUAACUUCCCUCACAGUUAGGGACAACAUUUGGAAACGAAUGCUACUACAUAAUACUGUGAGAGAGCUGUGCGUCCCAUUAGCUAGUUGGAGAGGUAACGGCUCACCAAGGCGAUGAUGGGUAGCCGGCCUGAGAGUGUGAUCGGCCACAAGGGGACUGAGACACGGCCCUUACGCCUACGGGAGGCAGCAGUGGGGAAUAUUGGACAAUGGACCAAAGUCUGAUCCAGCAAUUCUGUGUGCAAGAUGAAGUUUUCGGAAUGUAAAGUGCUUUCAGUUGGGAAGCGGUACCAACAGAAGAAGUGACGGCGAAAUACGUGCCAGCAGCCGCGGUAAUAC
This 406-nucleotide ribosomal RNA is filed under the name uncultured bacterium. RNAcentral describes it as "partial 16S ribosomal RNA". It matches the Rfam family "Bacterial small subunit ribosomal RNA", at positions 28 to 526 of the family's 1533-position model. The record is from RNAcentral.